GACGAACGCUGGCGGCGUGCUUAAUACAUGCAAGUCGAACGGAAAGGCCCUGCUUUUGUGGGGUGCUCGAGUGGCGAACGGGUGAGUAACACGUGAGUAACCUGUCCUUGACUUUGGGAUAACUUCAGGAAACUGGGGCUAAUACCGGAUAGGAGCUCUUGCUGCAUGGUGGGGGUUGGAAAGUUUCGGUGGUUGGGUAUGGACUCGCGGCUUCUCAGCUUGUUGGUGGGGUAGUGGAUUACCAAGGUUUUGAGGGGUAGCGGGCCUGAGGGGGUGACCGGCCACAUUGGGACUGAGGGACGGCACAGACUCCUACGGGAGGCAGCAGUGGGGAAUAUUGCACAAUGGGCGGAAGCCUGAUGCAGCAACGCCGCGGGCGGGAUAACGGCCUUCGGGGGGUAAACCGCUUUCGCCUGUGACGAAGCGUGAGUGACGGUAAUGUGUAAAGAAGCACCGGCUAACUACGUG
RNAcentral lists this ribosomal RNA (468 nucleotides) under uncultured bacterium. Its description in RNAcentral is "partial 16S ribosomal RNA". It matches the Rfam family "Bacterial small subunit ribosomal RNA", at positions 28 to 507 of the family's 1533-position model. The record is from RNAcentral.